RNAcentral lists this ribosomal RNA (390 nucleotides) under uncultured bacterium. Its description in RNAcentral is "partial 16S ribosomal RNA". It matches the Rfam family "Bacterial small subunit ribosomal RNA", at positions 523 to 918 of the family's 1533-position model. The record is from RNAcentral.
AUACGGAGGAUCCGAGCGUUAUCCGGAUUUAUUGGGUUUAAAGGGUGCGCAGGCGGCCAUUUAAGUCAGCGGUUAAAUCGUGGGGCUCAACCCCAUUCUGCCGUUGAUACUGGGUGGCUUGAUUGCGGUCGAGGUUGGCGGAAUUCGUUGUGUAGCGGUGAAAUGCAUAGAUAUGACGAAGAACACCGAUUGCGUAGGCAGCUGACCAGACCGCAAAUGACGCUCAUGCACGAAAGUGCGGGGAUCGAACAGGAUUAGAUACCCUGGUAGUCCACGCCGUAAACGAUGAGCACUAAGUGUCGGAUGAAUUUUCGGCGCUGCAGUUAACACAAUAAGUGCUCCGCCUGGGGAGUACGGUCGCAAGACUGAAACUUAAAGGAAUUGACGGGG